This 794-nucleotide long non-coding RNA is filed under the name Homo sapiens (human). RNAcentral describes it as "non-protein coding lnc-CD53-4:2". The record is from RNAcentral. Lineage: Eukaryota; Metazoa; Chordata; Mammalia; Primates; Hominidae.
AUUCUAGCCCUGUUGGACAGCCGAACCCAUCACAACAAAUCAAUGCCAAAAAUGGCAUUUCAAGAGGAAAACAUAGCAUUUAUUUAGUACCCCCAACAGAGUAGCUCAAAGUGAUUUGAAAAUGUCUCAUUAAUCCUCAUAACACCCCUGUGGGAUAAUAAUAAUAUUAUUAUAACGUUUAGGCGUAGAACUGUGGCAAAGCCAACAGCUUCUCUGAGCAUGUGCAGGAUUUCCUCAUAUUUCAGUCUGCAAUACUAGAGCCUGACUAAAACCGUCAGGUUUGCAAACAGCAAGGGUAAAUAAAUCUUGGUGUUUGGCCUUUCUGUGUUGCUCUAGGCAUAGUUUGUGUUUCCUACUGACCACAUCAAUCCCAGAAAUAGUUCACCAGUUGUUUGCCAGAUGGUAAGCAGCAUUUAGGAUUAGCUCAGAAGUGUUUGAGAGUGGGACAAGGCAGGGCUAGAGGUCCUGAUCCACAAUUACAGAUAAAUGAAUGGAGAAAUAGCACCUAGUAACAGUGUAAAAGCGUUCCUAUUUCUCCACAUCCGAACCCAUCACAACAAAUCAAUGCCAAAAAUGGCAUUUCAAGAGGAAAACAUAGCAUUUAUUUAGUACCCCCAACAGAGUAGCUCAAAGUGAUUUGAAAAUGUCUCAUUAAUCCUCAUAACACCCCUGUGGGAUAAUAAUAAUAUUAUUAUAACGUUUAGGCGUAGAACUGUGGCAAAGCCAACAGCUUCUCUGAGCAUGUGCAGGAUUUCCUCAUAUUUCAGUCUGCAAUACUAGAGCCUGACUAAAAC